GCCGGGACGACGAGAAGGGGGUGGACUGCAGGGUCAGGGUUGGGGAGACGCGCACGCGGGGAGCUCACUCAGGCCCGCGGCAAGUCGUUUCCCUCCAGGCUCCUCGAGGACCCUAAGGACCCUGCAGAGGGGCCAUUGCAACAUGCAGACUCCAAGACUAAUGGCAUCUGGCUGUACAGAGACCCCUCUGAGGACCCAGAGCCCUGAUGGAAGAAACAGGACGAUUUCCUGAAGAUUGGCAGGGCACUCCUGGCACUAAGAACAAUGGAGGAGGCCACUCUGUGCUGGGGGUGUUCAGAUACAUGCCACACAAAGAGCCACAAUCCCACCUGUGAGAAAUAAUGACUUCAGGGGCCUCUGCGGGCAUCAGGAAAGGCAGAUGGGCACUGGGUUUGGAUACAGGGUGGUGAAAAAGUGUGUGAAGAGUGGUGACAGUUGCAUGACAAUGUGAAGGUACUUUGAACAAUUUAAAGUAGUCACAAUGGUAACUUUCAUUGCGGGUAUUUUACCAUACGAAAACACAAAACAUACUGUAUCAUUGAAAAAAAAAAGAAGAGGCUUUUGUGAAGCCUCAGUAUUACUAUUAUAAUUAAUGUUAGCCAGAGAAUUAAAAUUAUUUGGAGAAUAAAACAUGGCCACAAACACU
This is a long non-coding RNA of Cervus elaphus (red deer), 646 nucleotides long. RefSeq lists it as uncharacterized. The transcript is spliced from 3 exons. Lineage: Eukaryota; Metazoa; Chordata; Mammalia; Artiodactyla; Cervidae. The record is from RefSeq and is a predicted model, not a curated record.